RNAcentral lists this ribosomal RNA (482 nucleotides) under uncultured bacterium. RNAcentral describes it as "bacterial SSU rRNA". It matches the Rfam family "Bacterial small subunit ribosomal RNA", at positions 30 to 506 of the family's 1533-position model. The record is from RNAcentral.
UUGAACGCUGGCGGAAUGCUUUACACAUGCAAGUCGAGCGGCAGCGCGGGGGCAACCCUGGCGGCGAGCGGCGAACGGGUGAGUAAUACAUCGGAACGUACCCAGUUGUGGGGGAUAGCCCGGCGAAAGCCGGAUUAAUACCGCAUAAGUCCUGAGGGAGAAAGCGGGGGACCGUAAGGCCUCGCGCGAUUGGAGCGGCCGAUGUUCGAUUAGCUAGUUGGUGGGGUAAAGGCCUACCAAGGCGACGAUCGAUAGCUGGUCUUAGAGGACGACCAGCCACACUGGAACUGAGACACGGUCCAGACUCCUACGGGAGGCAGCAGUGGGGAAUUUUGGACAAUGGGCGAAAGCCUGAUCCAGCCAUGCCGCGUGCAGGAUGAAGGCCUUCGGGUUGUAAACUGCUUUUGUACGGAACGAAAAGACUCCUUCUAAUAAAGGGGGUUCAUGACGGUACUGUAAGAAUAAGCACCGGCUAACUACGU